RNAcentral lists this ribosomal RNA (735 nucleotides) under Pseudoalteromonas sp. SCc-7. RNAcentral's name for it is "bacterial SSU rRNA". It matches the Rfam family "Bacterial small subunit ribosomal RNA", at positions 347 to 1076 of the family's 1533-position model. Lineage: Bacteria; Pseudomonadati; Pseudomonadota; Gammaproteobacteria; Alteromonadales; Pseudoalteromonadaceae. The record is from RNAcentral.
AGCAGCAGUGGGGAAUAUUGCACAAUGGGGGAAACCUUGAUGCAGCCAUGCCGCGUGUGUAAGAAGGCUUCGGGUUGUAAAGCACUUUCAGUUGUGAGGAAAAGUGAGUAGUUAAUACCUGCUCACCGUGACGUUAACAACAGAAGAAGCACCGGCUAACUCCGUGCCAGCAGCCGCGGUAAUACGGAGGGUGCGAGCGUUAAUCGGAAUUACUGGGCGUAAAGCGCACGCAGGCGGUUUGUUAAGCUAGAUGUGAAAGCCCCGAGCUCAACUUGGGAUGGUCAUUUAGAACUGGCAGACUAGAGUCUUGGAGAGGGGAGUGGAAUUCCAGGUGUAGCGGUGAAAUGCGUAGAUAUCUGGAGGAACAUCAGUGGCGAAGGCGACUCCCUGGCCAAAGACUGACGCUCAUGUGCGAAAGUGUGGGUAGCGAACAGGAUUAGAUACCCUGGUAGUCCACACCGUAAACGCUGUCUACUAGCUGUUUGUGNCUUUAAGNCGUGAGUAGCGAAGCUAACGCGAUAAGUAGACCGCCUGGGGAGUACGGCCGCAAGGUUAAAACUCAAAUGAAUUGACGGGGGCCCGCACAAGCGGUGGAGCAUGUGGUUUAAUUCGAUGCAACGCGAAGAACCUUACCUACACUUGACAUGCAGAGAACUUUCUAGAGAUAGAUUGGUGCCUUCGGGAACUCUGACACAGGUGCUGCAUGGCUGUCGUCAGCUCGUGUCGUGAGAUGUG